This is a long non-coding RNA of Acyrthosiphon pisum (pea aphid), 1105 nucleotides long. RefSeq lists it as uncharacterized. The transcript has 2 exons. NCBI's taxonomy places the organism in Eukaryota, Metazoa, Arthropoda, Insecta, Hemiptera, Aphididae. The record is from RefSeq and is a predicted model, not a curated record.
AUAGAUAUUUUACAGUGCAACUUAUUCUACAUUACAGUCAACAACUACCUACCUACUUGUUUGUUAAUUUCUAGAAGUUUUAUUUUUUAACUUUAUACUGCUUGUCAUAUUAUAAAACUAUUUAAAUUAACACGAAGUUGAAGAAUCCAUUGUUCGUAUAAGCCUAUUCAAUUUUCGGUUCGUAACAUCAAUGAUAACAAUAAAAUAUUAACUACACAAUUUAGUUAAUAAGUUAUUAUGCAGUUUACCUCGAAUACCUCUUAACUAUCUUAGUUAAUUGGUUAUCACGAUGGCGAACAGGGCGAUCAUAAUCACACUAACAAUCAUAGUUUUAAUUAAUACUGCUCAAAGUAUAAAUUUCUAUACGAAUACUAAAACUGAUUGUUUUGGGAGAAAAGCUGAUAAUUAUGUUGAGAGUCCUAAUGAUCAACAAAUUAAAGAUUCGUUGCUUAAAUUGGAUUUGGCUGCUAUUGACAAAAGCAAUUGGGUUGAUGCUGCUCAACUUGAGUCUCAACAUACUGGUGAAUCGGUUGGGACUGCUGCUGACGAUACACGGACCGCCACUACAUCUUACAUCGGUGAUUAAGGAGCAGAGUUAGCCUAGAUAAAUAGUUCUUCUUCUAGAUAAUAUGUUAAAAGAUAUAAAGAUAAUAGACCAAAAGUCUAUUUAGAUAAAGAUAAAAAUUAACUCAAUCAAAAAUAUCUAUUUAAUAUAUAAAAUAUAACCAUAAUUUACCUAGAUAAAAAGCAAAUACAUUUUAAAAAAAAUAAUGAUUUAAAACUAAAAUUUCAUUAUAUCAAAAAAACUGUAUCAGGCUUUUAAGUUAUCAUGUAAACAACAUUUUGAAUAUUUUGAAGGUAUUUUAAAUAUGUCAUUUUUUAAGUUUUGCAUCUAUAAUUUACAUUAUUAUUUUUUUUCUGUAUUGAUUUAAAAAAAAAAAACAAGUACCUAUCCACAUUUUGCCGUAAUCAAUGGAUUUUUUCAACAAAACGCCAUUAGGAUUUUAAUAUACCUAUAUGAUCAAUAAUUGGUUUAUUACAAUAAGAUUAUACUAAUAUUGGGAAAAAUUUUUAAAUUAAGAAUAAAGUGUAUAUUGUGAUUGUA